AGGACUGCACCCACAGCAUAUGGAGGUUCCCAGGCUAGGGGUCCAACUGGAGCUAUAGCUGCUGGCCUACAGCAGAGCCACAGCAAGGCGGGAUCCGAGCCGCAUCUGUGACCUACACCACAACUCAUGGCAACACUGGAUUCUUAAUCCACUGUGUGAGGCCAGGGAUCAAACCCACAACCUCAUGGGACCUAGUCGGAUUCGUUUCCACUGCACCAGGACGGGAACUCCGGAAUUUGAAUUUUACAACCUUGACUUUUCUUGCAGACAACUCUCUUUCCCAAGAAUAUGGUACCACCUAAAACCUUCAAUUUUCCACACUCAGGGCACUUCAAUUAGGACUUCCUCCCUGAGCACAUGUCUCCCAGCAGCUGCUGAUAACGACAUGCCCCCUGUUAAGUAACAGUCUAAAUGCAACAACAUCUGCUUUUUCUCUACAUUAGAAAGGGAGAAGAGAUGCUUUGAAGAUACCAGGUUUGACUCUUAUUUUAUAUUAUACUUUCUCCUUAGUUACUGGCCAAUCUAAACCCUUAGGACCAUCUUAUUAAAAUCUGAACAAAAGGUGCCUAAACUUUUUAUUCCAUUAACUAAUGCAUAUAGAUAUUGACAAUCAACGAGAGGGGUCCAAAAUAACUACCUCAGCAUUACAAUCACACAGUGUGGGUUGGAAAUCUCAUUUCUUCUACUUUAAUUAGUUGGGUGGGUUGGAGGAUAUUUCUUAAGCUCUCUGAGACAUACUUUCUCAUCUGUAAAAUGUAGAUAACUAUACUAACUAGUUCACAAAGCCACUGAAAAGAUGAAAUACAUUUUUUUCUUAAAAACAGUGCAAUGCCUAGUUAAAUUAUCAGCACUCAGGGAGUUUCUGUUGUGGUGCAGUGGAAAUGAAUCCAACUAGUAUCCAUGAGGAUUCGAGUAAUCCCUGGCCUCUCUCAGUGGGUCAGGGAUCUGGCGUCGCCGAGAGAUGUAGUGUAGUUCACAGAUGCAGCUCAGAUCUGGCAUUGCUGUGGCUGUGGUGCAGGCCAGCAGCUGUAGCUCUGAUUCGACCCCUAGCCUGGGAACCUAUGCCACGGGUACAGCCCUAAAAAAGCAAAAAAAUAAAGUAAAAUAAAAUAAAAAUUAUCUGUACUCAGUAAAACUUAGCUAUUAUUAUUUUCAUAGUUACUGCUAUGAAAUUAUUGGAAAAUAAGCUAAAUUCAUUUAUACUAAAAAAGAAUGAUGCAUUUGUGUUAACAAUGUAGGAAAAUCUCACAACUAUUCUUUGAAAAAUGCUAACUUCCAGAAGGAUUGACACUUAUGUGGGUGAGAAUCUUAUAUUGACAAUCUUCAUUAAAGUGAAAAAAAUGAAUGUCUUUGAAUAAUGUUAGAUUCAGAAAAGUUUCCAUAAGUACCAGAUAUAUGAAUCACAGGCUUACAAAUCACACUGGCCUGUACUAGAACCAUCUUUGAAGAAUCUAGAUGAAUAUGCCUUUUCUAUUUUAAAACUAACCUUUGGUUAUCUCCACUGCUCAGUCACCACAUGUUCUUUACAGAAGUUAAGCAUCUACAUAAGAACAUUUCUUGACCUAGAACUUCAUUCUCUAAAUCAAAUAUCUGCUCCCCAUAAUGAGGGCAGUGCCAGGCUGACUCACCAAAAAAGGGGUAAGAUUAAUUUUUUUUUUUUUUUCUUUUUAGGGCCUUACCUGAAGCAUAUGGAGAUUCCCAGGCUAAGGACUGAAAUGGAGCUACAGCUGCCGGCCACAGCCACAGCCACACAGGAUCCAAGCCGUGUCUGCAACCUACACCACAGUUCACAGCAACAGCGGAUCCUUAACCCAAUGAGCGAGGCCAGGGAUAAAACCCCCAACCUCAUGGUUCCUAGUCAGAUUCGUUUCCACUGCUCCACACAGGAACUCCAAGACAUAAAUAUUUUAAGUCUACAGACAUGUGUUUCCCACUAUAAGACAAAAAGUAAAUGGUUUGCACACAAUAAAUCCCCAUGUAGAUUCCUGUCACUCAGAGGGUAAGAAAAAGAUUGCUCUAGGGGUAGAGCUGAGCCAGAUGAAAGCAAAUGCAGGGUGAAAUGGAGGAUGAGAAAAGGAAGAUUAAUUUUACAUUUUUUAAAAGAGAUACAACAACUAAAACUUGAAGCCAACAGGUCCUAUCCAUACAAAUAUUGAAUUUUCAAUAUCAAACGUAGUGAUUUGUGAUUAAACUGGUCAGAGUUUGUCAAAGAAUAUGACUAAUUACAAAACCAAGAGGUAUCUUUUCACACUGAAGCAAAGUACUGAUAGUUUAAACACAAUUUGCAAAACCACCUCGUUUUCUCUCACGCUGCUAUAAUAAGCAAUGUCUUCUCUCGGAAACUCAGUGGCUGGGCUGAAACAGGGCUUAAGGUUCAGACGUUAAAAGUCAAUUUUUAUAUCCAAUACCCUUGCUCAAACGCAGGAGGUGGUGAAGGAGACUUGAUUUCAACCCUCUGCACGUUUGGAACAAAGAGGGAUGAAACACAGUAACAUAGCUAUUUCAAGGAAUGCCUAUAAUUUCAUUGUUGUUAAAGCUGCCAGAUGUCUUAGCUCUAAGACAACACAGCUACUGAGUUAGAACCUGAAGAGAAAAAUGACAAAACCUAACUAUGAAAAAGCCCCCCAAAACAAAGAACAAGCACAAAAUAAAGAACCCCACAAACGCCUCCAUCACGCAUCGCCUUGUAUGGGAAAAUUCUGGGCUUGGUUAAUCCAACAGGCUAAGACAGGCAUUCCCAGAAAAGGGAACUGAGGAUAAUCAAAGAAUAGAAACGACUACAUCCUUUGUCAAAUUGCUCCUGUAGUUAAAUCUGGCGAUCCAGUUAACCUUAAAUAUCAACCUAUGGAUUAUUUUCCAUCCAAUAAAUACCUCAAGGAUAAUAACUGAGUUUCAAGUCUGACCUUCAGAUGGCAAAAUGAAUCAUACUCUGCUACUAAAAAGAAUGCAACAGCUGUCCCCAUAUACCCUGCAGAAAAACUUAAGUGGGAAAAACUCAAAAUAUCUUUCUUCAAAAAGUCUGAGAACAGUUAUGUGCAAAAU
RNAcentral lists this long non-coding RNA (3042 nucleotides) under Sus scrofa (pig). RNAcentral's name for it is "lncRNA (ENSSSCG00000057528.1)". The record is from RNAcentral. Lineage: Eukaryota; Metazoa; Chordata; Mammalia; Artiodactyla; Suidae.